UCUCCGUUGGUGAACCAGCGGAGGGAUCAUUACAGGACUCGCAAGACUCCUUCACCCUGAGAACCUCACUACAAGCACGUUGCUUCGGCGGGUGUCCCGGCGGGGGUUUUCCCUCGCCGGGGCGCACAGCCCGCCGGCAGCCUACUAUACUCUGUCUCUUUGCGUUGGCAUCUCGAGAAAAAACAAACAAGUUAAAACUUUCAACAACGGAUCUCUUGGUUCUG
RNAcentral lists this unclassified non-coding RNA (224 nucleotides) under plant metagenome. RNAcentral describes it as "partial contains small subunit ribosomal RNA, internal transcribed spacer 1, and 5.8S ribosomal RNA". The record is from RNAcentral.